This 233-nucleotide long non-coding RNA is filed under the name Mytilus galloprovincialis (Mediterranean mussel). The record is from RNAcentral. Lineage: Eukaryota; Metazoa; Mollusca; Bivalvia; Mytilida; Mytilidae.
AGGGAUUUCAAAUUAAAUUAGACUCUAAAACACAUAGUCUGAAAAUUUCACAACUAGCAGAUGAUACUACUCUUUUUUUUAAAAUGUAAGCAGGGAAAUAAGCUAUGCUUUAAACUUGAUUGAAAUAUUUGGAACACUCUCAGGUCUUAAACUUAACCGAUCUAAAACAGAGGGCAUAUGGUUAGGCCAAUUGAAAAGCUGCAAAGAUAAAUAUGAAAAUAUAAACUGGAAUA